This 276-nucleotide ribosomal RNA is filed under the name uncultured bacterium. Its description in RNAcentral is "partial 16S ribosomal RNA". It matches the Rfam family "Bacterial small subunit ribosomal RNA", at positions 28 to 296 of the family's 1533-position model. The record is from RNAcentral.
GAUGAACGCUGGCGGCGUGCCUAAUACAUGCAAGUCGGACGAGGGUUCAAGUCGUAAGACAUGGAUUCCUAGUGGCGAACGGGUGAGUAACACGUAGGCGACCUGCCCCGAAGAAGGGAGUAACGCUCGAAGGGACGUGCUAAUACCCUACUACUCUUGCAGAGGCCAGAGGCUCUGUGAGGAAAAGUAGAGACGCUUCGGGAGGGGCCGUGCGGCCCGACUCAGGUAGUUGGUGAGGAACGGCUCACCAAGCCGAAGACGGGUAGGGGCCGUGGA